Molecule: ribosomal RNA, 252 nt
Filed under: uncultured bacterium
Lineage: Bacteria
Description: partial 16S ribosomal RNA
Rfam family: Bacterial small subunit ribosomal RNA
Source: RNAcentral
UACGGAGGAUGCGAGCGUUAUCCGGAUUUAUUGGGUUUAAAGGGUGCGUAGGCGGAUCGUUAAGUCAGUGGUCAAAUUGAGGGGCUCAACCCCUUCCCGCCAUUGAAACUGGCGAUCUUGAGUGGAAGAGAAGUAUGCGGAAUGCGUGGUGUAGCGGUGAAAUGCAUAGAUAUCACGCAGAACCCCGAUUGCGAAGGCAGCAUGCCGGCUUCCUACUGACGCUGAAGCACGAAAGCAUGGGUAGCGAACAGG